Molecule: ribosomal RNA, 743 nt
Filed under: Pseudomonas sp. OC-Y1-40
Lineage: Bacteria; Pseudomonadati; Pseudomonadota; Gammaproteobacteria; Pseudomonadales; Pseudomonadaceae
Description: bacterial SSU rRNA
Rfam family: Bacterial small subunit ribosomal RNA
Source: RNAcentral
CCUAACACAUGCAAGUCGAGCGGUAGAGAAGGAGCUUGCUUCUUCUUGAGAGCGGCGGACGGGUGAGUAAUGCCUAGGAAUCUGCCUGGUAGUGGGGGACAACGUUUCGAAAGGAACGCUAAUACCGCAUACGUCCUACGGGAGAAAGUGGGGGAUCUUCGGACCUCACGCUAUCAGAUGAGCCUAGGUCGGAUUAGCUUGUAGGUGAGGUAAUGGCUCACCUAGGCAACGAUCCGUAACUGGUCUGAGAGGAUGAUCAGUCACACUGGAACUGAGACACGGUCCAGACUCCUACGGGAGGCAGCAGUGGGGAAUAUUGGACAAUGGGCGAAAGCCUGAUCCAGCCAUGCCGCGUGUGUGAAGAAGGUCUUCGGAUUGUAAAGCACUUUAAGUUGGGAGGAAGGGUUGUAGCUUAAUACGCUGCAACCUUGACGUUACCAACAGAAUAAGCACCGGCUAACUCUGUGCCAGCAGCCGCGGUAAUACAGAGGGUGCAAGCGUUAAUCGGAAUUACUGGGCGUAAAGCGCGCGUAGGCGGCUUGAUAAGAUGGGUGUGAAAUCCCCGGGCUUAACCUGGGAACUGCAUCCAUAACUGUCUGGCUAGAGUACAGUAGAGGGUGGUGGAAUUUCCUGUGUAGCGGUGAAAUGCGUAGAUAUAGGAAGGAACACCAGUGGCGAAGGCGACCACCUGGACUGAUACUGACGCUGAGGUGCGAAAGCGUGGGGAGCAAACAGGAUUAGAU